This 81-nucleotide transfer RNA is filed under the name Nanobdellota archaeon. Its description in RNAcentral is "tRNA-Ser". It matches the Rfam family "tRNA". Rfam says of the family: Transfer RNA (tRNA) molecules are approximately 80 nucleotides in length. Their secondary structure includes four short double-helical elements and three loops (D, anti-codon, and T loops). The record is from RNAcentral. Lineage: Archaea; Nanobdellati; Nanobdellota.
GCCCGCGUGCGCAGAAUGGUAUUGCACCUGGUUUGAGCCCAGGGCCUUUAUGGCACCCAGGUUCGAUUCCUGGCGCGGGCG